RNAcentral lists this ribosomal RNA (529 nucleotides) under Penicillium spinulosum. RNAcentral describes it as "eukaryotic LSU rRNA". The stretch from base 157 to 310 matches the Rfam family "5.8S ribosomal RNA". Lineage: Eukaryota; Fungi; Ascomycota; Eurotiomycetes; Eurotiales; Aspergillaceae. The record is from RNAcentral.
CUGGGUCACCUCCCACCCGUGUUUAUUGUACCUUGUUGCUUCGGUGCGCCCGCCUCACGGCCGCCGGGGGGCUUCUGCCCCCGGGUCCGCGCGCACCGGAGACACCAUUGAACUCUGUCUGAAGAUUGCAGUCUGAGCAUAAACUAAAUAAGUUAAAACUUUCAACAACGGAUCUCUUGGUUCCGGCAUCGAUGAAGAACGCAGCGAAAUGCGAUAACUAAUGUGAAUUGCAGAAUUCAGUGAAUCAUCGAGUCUUUGAACGCACAUUGCGCCCCCUGGUAUUCCGGGGGGCAUGCCUGUCCGAGCGUCAUUGCUGCCCUCAAGCACGGCUUGUGUGUUGGGCUCCGUCCCCCCGGGGACGGGCCCGAAAGGCAGCGGCGGCACCGAGUCCGGUCCUCGAGCGUAUGGGGCUUUGUCACCCGCUCUGUAGGCCCGGCCGGCGCCAGCCGACAACCCAUCAUCCUUUUCAGGUUGACCUCGGAUCAGGUAGGGAUACCCGCUGAACUUAAGCAUAUCAAUAAGCGGAGGA